CGUGGUAAACAGGUCCGGCGUCUCCCCAGCAUCCGGUACGUCCUCGGGCACCGCUGGUUCUUCCUCGCCCUCGGGCAGGUAGUCCAUCACGCCAGCCACCAUCGCCAGCUCGCCGGCCGAAACCUCCACAUCGUUCCGUCAUCAUCUGGCCAGCACUGUUCGUCAUAGCCUCGCUGAAUGCCGGGUUAAUGUGGCCUCCUUCCGUGUAGAUGCCCUCCGUAAAAGCCGUCACGCCCAGCUGACCGACCGGGGUUGCCGUGAACCCAUCGACAGCGCCGCGUGCCAUCGAUGAUUCUCCACCGGCCACUGCACCGACGGUUCCAGCACCAUUUCCCAGCGCGUAUUGGCUGAGAGACGGGGCCAGCGAACCUAAGCUUGCGAGCGAUUCCGGCCGUACGUUGUCAACCGCAGCAUCGGCCAGUCCCGAUCUUGGACGGGAAUAGGAGCUACUGACUGGCACACGCGACAUCGUUUAUCCCCUUCUAGACCGAACCAGCACCGACACCGAAAACCCACCGUUCACCGUGGUGGCGCAACGCAAACUACAAAAUGAAAAGGUUCUCCCAUUCCGCGAGAUCAACCAUUUUCAAACGAAAUUAGUACCGGUUUGUCCAUAAAGUUAACUUAUCGUGCGUAAAAGAUAACUAACGAAGGGAAUAAAUGAUACCUGGCUACUACUAUUAUUUUCUGGCCACGCGGCUACUAUGUGGCGGGGUGUAGGUGCUAAUCUGCCAAAUUUCAUGAUAAAGGUAAUCUACGUCGGCAUCGAUCCGGUUCAUGGAACCAGAUUAUUUAAACAUGUUCUUCAGAUUCUUGCCCGGUGCUCGGUGUUCCCUGUAAACAGACUUAAAAAAAAUACGUUACACGCUUUUAAUCUCUCCCUUUGUCUCUGUACGCAAACAAGCCUUUACUUACGCAAUUUGUCAUCAUGUUCGAUUGCACGGAUUAAAUACGAACAGUUAAGAGCUGUCAGCUAACACUGAUUGCGUACACGUGUUUGUUAUACAUAGUUUUCUUCAUAUACUUUAAUAGUUUUUGUUCACCGACCUUCGCAAAAUCACAUUCGUACAGCUUCAUUGACCGUUUAACAAUUAAAUCUCUUCCUUUUCCCGUGCGUGUCGUCCCUCCGAGUCUAAUAAAUUAGCAUGAAACUAAAUCACUACAUGAUGAGAAAGAGCCAGCGAAAAGAAGCGAGAGAGAGAGAGAGAAAGGCGAUUUUCUUAAAUACUAAACACGAAAACCGUUCACAUGUUUCGGUUAAAGAAAAGCAGUGGGUGAAAGGGUGUUUUUUUUUGUCUACCGAGGAAACGUUUGCUUUUAUACACAAUUUUAAGCCACGACAGUUGUUAGAAGCAGUUGUCACCAUCACGGAUUAUGAGUUUUAUCUACUUACACAAUCGACAAUGCCCUUCUUCACCAUGCUGUGACACCAUCGAUUGUCAGGAAGAUACACAACAAAAAGCGUCUAUCAAGUGUACGCCGGUGUCGGCAUCAAUUUUGUAACAGUGUGGGGAAAGGGAAAGGGGUACACGCGGCUGGCUAAUUGCUGCUGUCCGCAAUUCUGAGAAUUUGAUCGCCCACCAAACGCAUAUCUUAUCGGUGCGAAUGCUUAUCAACUAAUUCUUACACCACACUGACCUUCUUCGCCGUGGGAGCGGGGAGACUGGACUGGACUGGAGCCGUGGAAGCAUUAUCGUACAGUGCCGGCUCUCUGCCGUCAACGUUCUCUCAUUCGUUUGAUUCCCCGUGGGACAGCAGAUUCGAUGAUCUCUCGCUCUCGCCCUUCUCUGCCUCUGUUUAAUUACCACUAUUUUCCUAAGACUAUUUUUCCACUAUUAGUUCGACAUUUUUUCUUCCGAUUGUUCACCCUUUCGGUUAAAGAAGUGGUUAGAAACCGUUGCAAAUUAUCUAUUCCGAACGCCGAGUAAGACUGUGAAGCACAGAAACAGAAACGGAGCAUUACUUGUGUUUUAUAGUAAUUUCUAAUACUUUCUACUGCCAUACGUCUGGAAACGUUUUUCCUCUCCUAUUUUUUUAAUCUUUCUCUCCCAUCAUGAAAUAAGAGCAUUGUGUUUCUUCUCCGUUACACACGACACGUUUGCUUUCAGUUUAGUAUUUGUUGUUCUGCUUGUUUUUUCAUUAGUCCACUGCCAGUGUGCACCAUCAUGUGGAGAGGAAAUUGAAUGUAAAACUAACAAACUAUAACCACGCACCGUUGCUGUGCCCAUUUUCGAGCCUAGAAUGAGCAUUUUUGUAAGCCAAACAAUACAUCGCACAGAAGAAACGGAGAACGAGAAGCAGAGCGCAAACAAAACUGAAGUAACAACACAUUAAGCACAUGCGGUGGUAUUCUUUUUUAUGUUAGAUGUGGGUGUGUGAGAGCGGUGCACAUGAAAUCACUGUUUUAACCCUAAACGCCUGAGGACGCAUCUUUAUCUUUUUUAUCCUGCCUUGGCCUUCGUUUUUGCCCUGUUUUGUUUUGUCUAGUUGUGACAAUUCCUUUCAUCGUGAAGAUUGAGAUCUAUAUGCAACGUUUUAAGGGGGUGGGGUGGUUCUAUAUGUACAAAGUGGAAGGUUGUAAUCGUGCCUACUACAUGCUAAAUGUAUGGUAUUUGAUUAGAUCGGACAAUAGUGAAGUCAGCUAGAGCUGGCCCUUUUUU
Long non-coding RNA from Anopheles gambiae (African malaria mosquito), 2660 nucleotides. RefSeq lists it as uncharacterized. The transcript has 2 exons. The record is from RefSeq and is a predicted model, not a curated record. NCBI's taxonomy places the organism in Eukaryota, Metazoa, Arthropoda, Insecta, Diptera, Culicidae.